UGUGUUGCUUGCGGUGAAUAUUUGGUAUGUAGAGGAUCUGCAGGCUAGGUAAAGUGAAAAAAUAGGGAUUGAAAUCAGGAUUUUUGGUGUUUGGUCUGAUUGGAACAAGUCAAGUUAGUGAUGAAGGUGAUGUUGAGUUCAAGGCUGUUCUUUUUGUUCCUCCAAAGGCUCCUCAUGAUCUGUAUGGGAGUUACUACAAUGCUAACAAGUCCAACUUGAAGUUAUACGUCAGACGUGUCUUCAUCUCAGAUGGAUUCGAUGAUCUUCUGCCCAAGUACCUGAACUUUUUGAUGGGAAACACAUUAGGAAGUUGGUUAAAGAUGGAUUCAUCAGCUGCAAACCAAACCACAUUCACUCUCCAUAUCAUGCACGGAGAAUGACAAAAGCCAGAUUGAGGGGUUUUCACUCUGGAUAUGGUUCAGUUAGUGAUUGAGAAUUUAGAGCAAUUGUUCCUGAAACAAUAAAAAUGAGCGGCUUGUUGUCAAUGAUGAUCGAGGUGAUAAGUUAAUGCUACUGCGAGCAAAUCCAGAUGCCCC
Molecule: long non-coding RNA, 536 nt
Organism: Papaver somniferum (opium poppy)
Lineage: Eukaryota; Viridiplantae; Streptophyta; Magnoliopsida; Ranunculales; Papaveraceae
Exons: 4
Source: RefSeq, a predicted model, not a curated record